RNAcentral lists this transfer RNA (77 nucleotides) under Nitrospinota bacterium. RNAcentral describes it as "tRNA-Asp". It matches the Rfam family "tRNA". Rfam says of the family: Transfer RNA (tRNA) molecules are approximately 80 nucleotides in length. Their secondary structure includes four short double-helical elements and three loops (D, anti-codon, and T loops). The record is from RNAcentral. Lineage: Bacteria; Pseudomonadati; Nitrospinota.
GGGGCGUGGUGAAGUCUGGAGUUCACGCCGGCCUGUCAAGCCGGAGAUCGCGGGUUCGAUCCCCGUCAGCCCCGCCA